CUAGGACAUCGUGUCCACCAUGCUGCGAGUUUGAGUCCAGGGCAAGCUCUUCUAAACUCGCAGCUUAGGUCGCCCAAGUGGGACAGCCCCUUAAUGCUGCUGUAAGCAAGAAUAUCAUUGUUCCAUUGUCAGUACAUAUGACAAUUAAACACUUGUCUCUUGUCUGGAGCUGCCAAGGGCAUCGCUGGAGCAGAGAGGGAUUACUCACCAGAAACUCUCCAAUGACUAGCACCCUUACCAGGAUUUCCAUUACGGUGCAUUUGGUGUUGAUUUACGGUCUUGUAUCUGAAAGUGCUUCACAAAUAUCAUCAUUGUCCCAAAAAGGAAUGGCUAGGAAGACGGGCACUCCUGACAAUACUUCCAGCCUUCCUGAUGCACCAAUAUGGACUGGAUGGAAGGAACUGAUGAGCAUGUGAUGGACGGGGAGGUGUUCAGCACUCUUUGCAGGUUCAGGUGGUCAAGAGCAAAAGUGUUGUCAUAUCAGACGGAGAUGCAUCCGGUCAGAAUACCGAUGUAUCAGAGAGAACACCUAGGUUUUGUACGGUAACUCAGUACACGUGACAAUAAACUAAAUGGACAUGAUCUACCCACCGCUGAAAUAUUAUGUCAUUUUCUCCUCCUUUGUGCAUUGCUGUCAUC
Molecule: long non-coding RNA, 639 nt
Organism: Leucoraja erinaceus (little skate)
Lineage: Eukaryota; Metazoa; Chordata; Chondrichthyes; Rajiformes; Rajidae
Exons: 3
Source: RefSeq, a predicted model, not a curated record